AACGCACCUUGCACCCUUUGGUAUUCCAAAGGGUACACCCGUUUGAGUGUCAUUGUAAUCUCACUUCAUCAGCUUUUGUUGAUGGGGGUGGACUUGGACUCUGUUGUGUCAUUACAACCGGUCUGAAAUGUGUGAGUGCACCCUGCUGUUGCAGCGUCUUCAGUGUGAUAAGCAUCUUCACUGAAUCAAGUUCCUUUGGGACACGUGUGUAAUGUGGGCUCUGUGCUGGCAAACUGUCUUUGGACAAUCUUGACAAUUCGACCUCAGAUCGGGUGGGACUACCCGCUGAACUUAA
Molecule: unclassified non-coding RNA, 295 nt
Filed under: uncultured fungus
Lineage: Eukaryota; Fungi
Description: partial contains 5.8S ribosomal RNA, internal transcribed spacer 2, and large subunit ribosomal RNA
Source: RNAcentral